AUAGGGGAGCCGGAGGGAAACCGAGUCUUAACCGGGCGUUAAGUUGCAGGGUAUAGACCCGAAACCCGGUGAUCUAGCCAUGGGCAGGUUGAAGGUUGGGUAACACUAACUGGAGGACCGAACCGACUAAUGUUGAAAAAUUAGCGGAUGACCUGUGGCUGGGGGUGAAAGGCCAAUCAAACCGGGAGAUAGCUGGUUCUCCCCGAAAGCUAUUUAGGUAGCGCCUCGUGAAUUCAUCUCCGGGGGUAGAGCACUGUUUCGGCUAGGGGGCCAUCCCGGCUUACCAACCCGAUGCAAACUGCGAAUACCGGAGAAUGUUAUCACGGGAGACACACGGCGGGUGCUAACGUCCGUCGUGAAGAGGGAAACAACCCAGACCGCCAGCUAAGGUCCCAAAGUCAUGGUUAAGUGGGAAACGAUGUGGGAAGGCCCAGACAGCCAGGAUGUUGGCUUAGAAGCAGCCAUCAUUUAAAGAAAGCGUAAUAGCUCACUGGUCGAGUCGGCCUGCGCGGAAGAUGUAACGGGGCUAAACCAUGCACCGAAGCUGCGGCAGCGACGCUUAUGCGUUGUUGGGUAGGGGAGCGUUCU
Molecule: ribosomal RNA, 588 nt
Filed under: Salmonella enterica subsp. enterica serovar Albany
Lineage: Bacteria; Pseudomonadati; Pseudomonadota; Gammaproteobacteria; Enterobacterales; Enterobacteriaceae
Description: bacterial LSU rRNA
Rfam family: Bacterial large subunit ribosomal RNA
Source: RNAcentral